GCAUUGGAGGUUCAGUGGUAGAAUUCUCGCCUGCCACGCGGGAGACCCGGAUUCGAUUCCCGGCCAAUGCA
Molecule: transfer RNA, 71 nt
Filed under: Danio rerio (zebrafish)
Lineage: Eukaryota; Metazoa; Chordata; Actinopteri; Cypriniformes; Danionidae
Rfam family: tRNA
About the family: Transfer RNA (tRNA) molecules are approximately 80 nucleotides in length.
Source: Rfam by way of RNAcentral